GAUAAUUCUGGUGCAGAUGUUAUUUUGGGUAUUUUGCCGUUUGCUAGAGAAUUACUUCGUCAUGGAGCACAGGUUGUUUUAGCUGCUAAUGACUUACCUUCUAUCAAUGAUGUUACUUACCCCGAGUUAGUAGAGAUUAUUUCUAAGUUGAAAGAUGAGCAUGGGAAGCUCAUAGGUGUUGACACAUCCAAUCUUUUAGUUGCCAAUUCUGGUAAUGAUUUGCCGGUUAUUGAUCUUACAACGGUAUCUCAGGAGCUGGCAUACUUGGCAAGUGAUGCUGACCUCGUCAUUGUAGAAGGCAUGGGCCGCGGAAUAGAGACAAACUUGUAUGCUCGAUUCAAAUGUGAUUCCCUCAAGAUUGGAAUGGUAAAGCAUCCGGAAGUUGCUCAGUUUCUUGGAGGAAGGCUUUAUGAUUGCGUCUUCAAAUUUAACGAAGCUUCAAGUUAAAUAGUUUAGGUAUCAACUAUAUCAAGUUCUUUCUGGAAGUUUAGACAAACCCAACAAAUUGAAGAUAUUGGUAAAUCAUUAUAUUGGAUAUUAUUUGCAACUUUUUUUGAAAGUUGGAUUGCAAAUGAAGCAUCUGUGUUAAUGCUUCCUUGUGCUUAGGUGCAUCUGCAGUAGUGUAACCUUGCAGGUAUAUCACAUUGCAGCUUGAUCUUACCUCUUUCCAGCAGUAAAUGCCUCUUUUUUCUCCUGUAUUUUUCGGAAUCAUUUGUAAUAAAGAUAUUGGCUAGCUACGA
This 740-nucleotide unclassified non-coding RNA is filed under the name Hevea brasiliensis (rubber tree). The record is from RNAcentral. Lineage: Eukaryota; Viridiplantae; Streptophyta; Magnoliopsida; Malpighiales; Euphorbiaceae.